AUGGCUCAGUGAGGCCUUGGGACUGGCUCAGAGAGGUCGGCAACGACCACUCAGAGCCGGAAACUUGGUCAAACUUGGUCAUUUAGAGGAAGUAAAAGUCGUAACAAGGUUUCCGUGCUGACACUCCCCAGGAGUCGAGGCAGUCCGGACAAGAACAACGAAGCUAGUGAUCUUUCCACAGGUGACGCUUCGGAAGCCUUAGCAGCCUGAAAGGGUGGCCCUCCGCGACAAUAAACAACAGAAGAGGUGCUGAAAUGCUAGUUGAUACUUUCUGAGUAUUGGCAACACCGUCAAAUUGCGGGAACCCCCUAAAGAUUUCUACUACCAAGCAGUAUUGGGAAACCUUUUUGCUGUGGCCAGGGUAAUGACCUCGGGUAUGGUAACAACGUAGAAGUAUGAUCCUCUGGUCUUCAGAGGUGAAAUGGGCAACCUGCAGCCAAGUCCGUCACACCCGCCCCUGGGUGUCGGAUGCUGUUCACAGGCCAAAUGGUGGUGGGUUGGCUCGAUAGAGCUGGCUUAAGAUAUGGUCGGGCCCCUUGGGAAACCUUGUGGGGUAGUCACCACACAGUCAAAUGGAGGCUUGGAACAAAAAAGUGCAAGUUCCUCGUCAUGGGUGGCUGUGACAACCAAGAGAAUAAUAGAACGUACAUGGAGGCUGCCAAAAUUGCUCUCGCAACUAAUAUUCCUGGUUGACAUACUGUUCCGUAGGUGAACCUGCGGAAGGAUCAUUAUCGAGCUAGGGUCUCUCUAGGCCCGACCUCCCAACCCUUUGUUUACUGAACCUUCGUUGCUUCGGCGGACCCGCCUCUGGGCCGCCGGAGGACCGCCUCACGGCGUCCUCUGGCCCGCGUCCGCCGACGGCCAACCUCAAAAACGCUGAAAUAACCGUGUUGUGUGUCUCAGUCCCAUGAUUAAAUUAAAGCAAAACUUUCAACAACGGAUCUCUUGGUUCUGGCAUCGAUGAAGAACGCAGCGAAAUGCGAUAAGUAAUGCGAAUUGCAGAAUUCCAGUGAGUCAUCGAAUCUUUGAACGCACAUUGCGCCCUUUGGCAUUCCGAAGGGCAUGCCUGUUCGAGCGUCAUUAUCACCCCUCGGGCCCUGGGCUCGAUGUUGGACGGCCGGUCGGGCAACCGACCCCUCCUAAAGACAAUGACGGCGGCCUGUGGCGCCCCCGGUACACUGAGCUUUUCACGGAGCACGUACCGGACGAGGGCGCCCGGGACCCGGUCCUCUCCUUUCGGUAGGAAACUUCUCAAAGGUUGACCUCGGAUCAGGUAGGAAUACGCGCUGAACUUAAGCAUAUCAAUAAGCGCAGGAAAAGAAACCAACAGGGAUUACCUCAGUAACGGCGAGUGAAGCGGUAAUAGCUCAAAUUUGAAAUCUGGCCUCUCGGGGUCCGAGUUGUAAUUUGUAGAGGAUGUUUUGGGUACCGCCCCGGUCUAAAUUUCUUGGAACAGAAUGUCAUAGAGGGUGAGAAUCCCGUCUUGGACCGGCGGUAGGGCCUGUGUAAAACUCCUUCGACGAGUCGAGUUGUUUGGGAAUGCAGCUCAAAAUGGGUGGUAAAUUUCAUCUAAAGCUAAAUAUUGGCCAGAGACCGAUAGCGCACAAGUAGAGUGAUCGAAAGAUGAAAAGCACUUUGAAAAGAGAGUUAAACAGUAUGUGAAAUUGUUGAAAGGGAAGCGCUUGCAACCAGACUUGAGCGCGGCGGUUCCCCCGGCCUUUUGGCUGGGCUACUCCGCCGUGUCCAGGCCAACAUCGGUUCUGAGGGUCGGUCAAAGGCCCCGGGAAUGUAUCUACCCACGGGUAGACUUAUAGACCGGGGUGUCAUGCGGCCUCUCGGGACCGAGGAACGCGCUUCGGCUCGGAUGUUGGCGUAAUGGUUGUCAGCGACCCGUCUUGAAACACGGACCAAGGAGUCUAACAUCUAUGCGAGUGUUUGGGUGUCAAACCCGGAACGCGGAAUGAAAGUGAACGGAGGUAGGAAGCUUCGGCUGCACUAUCGACCGAUCCUGAAGUUUACGGAAGGAUUUGAGUAAGAGCAUAGCUGUUGGGACCCGAAAGAUGGUGAACUAUGCCUGAAUAGGGUGAAGCCAGAGGAAACUCUGGUGGAGGCUCGCAGCGGUUCUGACGUGCAAAUCGAUCGUCAAAUUUGGGUAUAGGGGCGAAAGACUAAUCGAACCAUUAGUUACCGGUGGUUGAGUGUACCCAUGAAAGUGGGUGCAAGUGCCUAGUUCUGGCGCGACACUAUCAAAUUGCGGGGACUCCCUAAAGCUUUAACGACCGCCCCGCCAUAUGAAAAUACGGCGCGGGCACCAGGUUAACGACCUCGGGUGUGGUAAAACUGUUAAAGAUGCAACAAUGGGUAAUCUGCAGCCAAGUUCUAAGGGCCUGUCGGCCUAUGGACGCAGUUCACAGACUAAAUGGUAGUGGGCUCUUCGUGGGCUUAAGACAUAGUCGGUCCCCCAGGGAAACCUGGGCAUACGCGCUAAAUCUGGGGGGAAGACUCUGCCCUGGGCAGUUCCCCCAGACCUGAACGGUAUGGGCGCCCCUCGGG
This 2553-nucleotide ribosomal RNA is filed under the name Chaetothyriales sp. MP-2014. RNAcentral describes it as "eukaryotic LSU rRNA". The stretch from base 1260 to 2553 matches the Rfam family "Eukaryotic large subunit ribosomal RNA", at positions 1 to 1130 of the family's 3401-position model. Lineage: Eukaryota; Fungi; Ascomycota; Eurotiomycetes; Chaetothyriales. The record is from RNAcentral.